UGGUUCGGGUGGGUGGGUGUGCAAGGCGUCUGUCUGUCUGUCUGUCUGUCUGUCUGUCUGUCUGUCUGUCUGUCUGUCUGUCAGAGUGGGUGUGGGUGGGUGUGCGUGUGCAAGGCGGGUGUGCGAGGCGCGCGCCAGUCCCAACCCCCUACACGUUGAUCUUAUUCGAUCGGCCGGGCCUGGCCGGGCCGAGGUGAGAAGAGCAGCGGCGCCGCGAAGCCCACGGGCGCUGUGCGGUGGCCGGCGGCGGGCGGGAUGAGUCGAUCAGAUAGGCGAGGCCGCGGCCGCUGAGCGCCCUGCGAUUCUGACCCGC
Molecule: non-coding RNA, 313 nt
Organism: Grus americana (Whooping crane)
Lineage: Eukaryota; Metazoa; Chordata; Aves; Gruiformes; Gruidae
Product: small Cajal body-specific RNA 2
Exons: 1
Source: RefSeq, a predicted model, not a curated record